ACGACCAUCGGACUAAAGACGUGGCACUGAGUCAGAUUGGCAGGCACUCCUUUCAGAUGGUUUUUAUCUGUGGGACUAUCGUGCAUAUUUGGUCUAGCGAUUUCAUUCUGUGUUGUCCUGUAGGAGGUCAAUUUCUGCCAUGGAUUUACAGUGCUUGGCAUAGUAACCAAGCUAUUGACAGUUGUAACUAAUCUUUGUUAUAUGGGACAAGCAUUCGAAACUGCUCGGAACAGUGGGGCUAUUGAUUUUUAUGCUUGGAGGGGCCAUGUCUCAGCAGUUUACCAGCAAACCUAAGCCUGUGAAAGAAGUAGAAGCCAAAGAGAACGAGGAGGAACAGCGCCAGCUACUCGAGAUCCAAUCUAGCAAACAAAGCUCCGGUUCUGGUGAGGAGAAAUGAGAUUUUUCAUGCUUCUGUGUCUGAAAAUGUCAUGAUGGAUCGUCCCACACUCCAUAGAUUCGUCUGAGCAGCGAUGCUUCGACAGAUUUUCCAGAGUCAGUAGUUAGAUUGGUCCGAGCGGUUUAAGCUGCUUUGCCAGCCUUCAUUUGGAAGAGUUUCGCCACAGAUUCGGACACUGCAAAGACGUACCAAAUGGAUGAUCUCCAAUGGAACUCAUUUCUGGAAAGACAAUUUCAUAGGAAGCCCCUUAAGUAAACCUUACUCAAGGCCACCUACGCCGCAAUGAAGAAGUGCUGCUUGUCAAAGAUGUUCGACACAGACGGAAAAAUGGCACCUUGACGGAAAAUGCUUGAAGCACUAGCAGUCUUUGAUCUGUGAGUCUUCUUUGCGGAACAAUGCCAGAGUGCAGUUUUGACAGAUUAAGCCUUUCUUCAAACGUCCAACCUUAGCUCAAUCUAAGUAGAUGCUAGAAUUUCUGAUUA
Long non-coding RNA from Rhodamnia argentea, 879 nucleotides. RefSeq lists it as uncharacterized. The transcript is spliced from 2 exons. Lineage: Eukaryota; Viridiplantae; Streptophyta; Magnoliopsida; Myrtales; Myrtaceae. The record is from RefSeq and is a predicted model, not a curated record.